RNAcentral lists this ribosomal RNA (344 nucleotides) under uncultured bacterium. RNAcentral describes it as "partial 16S ribosomal RNA". It matches the Rfam family "Bacterial small subunit ribosomal RNA", at positions 338 to 698 of the family's 1533-position model. The record is from RNAcentral.
CCUACGGGAGGCAGCAGUGGGGAAUAUUGCACAAUGGGGGAAACCCUGAUGCAGCAACGCCGCGUGAAGGAAGACGGUUUUAGGAUUGUAAACUUCUGUUCUUAGUGAAGAAUAAUGACGGUAGCUAAGGAGCAAGCCACGGCUAACUACGUGCCAGCAGCCGCGGUAAUACGUAGGUGGCAAGCGUUGUCCGGAAUUACUGGGUUUAAGGGGAGCGCAGGCGGGUAGCCAAGUCAGCGGUGAAAACUACGGGCUUAACUUGGAGACUGCAGUUGAAACUGGUUGUCUUGAGUGAAGUAGAGGUUGGCGGAAUGCGGAGUGUAGCGGUGAAAUGCGUAGAUAUU